CCUACGGGAGGCAGCAGUAGGGAAUAUUGCUCAAUGGGGGAAACCCUGAAGCAGCAACGCCGCGUGGAGGAUGAAGGUUUUCGGAUUGUAAACUCCUUUUGUUAGAGAAGAUAAUGACGGUAUCUAACGAAUAAGCACCGGCUAACUCCGUGCCAGCAGCCGCGGUAAUACGGAGGGUGCAAGCGUUACUCGGAAUCACUGGGCGUAAAGGGCGCAUAGGCGGGAUAGCAAGUCAGAUGUGAAAUCCUAUGGCUUAACCAUAGAACUGCAUUUGAAACUGUUAUUCUAGAGUAUGGGAGAGGUAGGUGGAAUUCUUGGUGUAGGGGUAAAAUCCGUAGAGAUCAAGAGGAAUACUCAUUGCGAAGGCGACCUGCUAGAACAUAACUGACGCUGAUGCGCGAAAGCGUGGGGAGCAAACAGGAUUAGAUACCCCGGUAGUC
Molecule: ribosomal RNA, 440 nt
Filed under: uncultured bacterium
Lineage: Bacteria
Description: partial 16S ribosomal RNA
Rfam family: Bacterial small subunit ribosomal RNA
Source: RNAcentral